GUCCAGUAGCACCUUAGAGACCAACUAAGUUUGUUCUUGGUAUAAGCUGUUGUGUGCAUGCACACUUAUACCAAGCUAAUAAGCUUAUACAAAGAACAAACUUAGUUGGUCUCUAAGGUGCUACUGGGC
Non-coding RNA from Podarcis lilfordi (Lilford's wall lizard), 129 nucleotides. Lineage: Eukaryota; Metazoa; Chordata; Lepidosauria; Squamata; Lacertidae. The record is from the annotation of a GenBank genome assembly.